UUUUAACGAAACCACGAGUUUCUGUGUCCAACUUUGAUCAUUUGUCUUAUUUAAAAAUUUUAUGAUUAGUAUUUUUAUUGUUAUCAGAUGAUAAAAUAUAAAUAGUAUUUUAUGCAUGACUUCUGUUUUUUAUUUUUUUUCAAAAAAAAAUUCAAAUGAAAUGGACGAUUAAAGUUGGAUACAUAAACUCAUGCUUGCGCUUAAA
This is a non-coding RNA of Oryza meridionalis, 205 nucleotides long. NCBI's taxonomy places the organism in Eukaryota, Viridiplantae, Streptophyta, Magnoliopsida, Poales, Poaceae. The record is from Rfam.